GUGAAUCAUCGAAUCUUUGAACGCAAAUUGCACUCUCUGGUAUUCCGGAGAGUAUGCCUGCUUGAGGGUCAGUUUAAAUAAAAAUCGUUGUGGUUGCUGCCUUUCUUGGUGACGCACCGGAUUUGGGUCGUCUUGCCUUCGGUUAAGGGACCUAUAAUUUUGCAUGAUUUUUUUCGAUCGUAUUUAAAUGCUUUUACGUACGUUUGCGAUAUCGAAAACUCGGUUUUGUCAUCCUC
RNAcentral lists this unclassified non-coding RNA (236 nucleotides) under Glomeraceae sp. Its description in RNAcentral is "partial contains 5.8S ribosomal RNA and internal transcribed spacer 2". The stretch from base 1 to 71 matches the Rfam family "5.8S ribosomal RNA", at positions 84 to 154 of the family's 154-position model. The record is from RNAcentral. Lineage: Eukaryota; Fungi; Glomeromycota; Glomeromycetes; Glomerales; Glomeraceae.